UGACCAUGGAGUUCGUGAGCUUGGUGGA
This 28-nucleotide small RNA is filed under the name Bombyx mori (domestic silkworm). RNAcentral's name for it is "ovarian small RNA-31555". The record is from RNAcentral. Lineage: Eukaryota; Metazoa; Arthropoda; Insecta; Lepidoptera; Bombycidae.